This 461-nucleotide ribosomal RNA is filed under the name uncultured bacterium. RNAcentral's name for it is "SSU rRNA". It matches the Rfam family "Bacterial small subunit ribosomal RNA", at positions 26 to 518 of the family's 1533-position model. The record is from RNAcentral.
AGAAUCAACGCUGGCGGCGUGCCUAACACAUGCAAGUCGAACGAGAAAGUGGAGCAAUCCAUGAGUACAGUGGCGUACGGGUGAGUAACACGUGACUAACCUACCCUCGAGUGGGGAAUAACCUCGGGAAACCGGGGCUAAUACCGCAUAAUAUCUUCGGAUCAAAUGCGUAAGCAGCUUGAGGAGGGGGUCGCGGCCGAUUAGCUAGUUGGCGGGGUAAUGGCCCACCAAGGCAAUGAUCGGUAGCCGGCCUGAGAGGGCGCACGGCCACACUGGAACUGAAACACGGUCCAGACUCCUACGGGAGGCAGCAGUGGGGAAUUUUGCGCAAUGGGGGAAACCCUGACGCAGCAACGCCGCGUGGAGGAUGAAGCCCCGUUGGGGUGUAAACUCCUUUCGAUCGGGACGAUUAUGACGGUACCGGAUGAAGAAGCACCGGCUAACUCUGCGCCAGCAGCCGC